RNAcentral lists this ribosomal RNA (1377 nucleotides) under Ancyttalia tarsalis. RNAcentral's name for it is "partial 16S ribosomal RNA". The stretch from base 1 to 391 matches the Rfam family "Microsporidia small subunit ribosomal RNA", at positions 768 to 1311 of the family's 1311-position model. Lineage: Eukaryota; Metazoa; Arthropoda; Insecta; Coleoptera; Curculionidae. The record is from RNAcentral.
UUCUUGAAAAUUAAAAAAAUUGGCGGUAUUUUAGUCUAUUCAGAGGAACCUGUCCUGUAAUUGAUAAUCCACGAGUUUAUUUACUUAUAUUAUUAAUUUACAUAUCUCCGUAGUUUGAAUAUUUUUAAAGAAAUUAAAUAUUCAAUAUGUUUAAAGAAAAAAAUUCAGGUCAAGGUGUAGUUUAUAUAUAAGAAGAGGUGGGUUACAUUAAAUUUAUUUAUAACGAAUAAUUUUUUUUAAAAAAAUUUGAAGGUGGAUUUGAAAGUAAUUUUAUAUAAAUAUAUAAAAUGAUUUUAGCUCUAAAAUAUGUACAUAUCGCCCGUCACUUUCACUUUAAGGUGGAAUAAGUCGUAACAAAGUAGAGGUACUGGAAAGUGUCUCUAGAAAAUUCAAAUUAAAGCUUUUAUAGCAUUUUAUUUACAUUAAAAAGAAUAUUGUAGAUUCAGUAUAAUUUGAAAGUAAUUAAUUAUUAAUGUUGUAAUAUUUAUAUAAUUUAAAAAAAAUAAUUAAAGUUUUUAUUAUUUAUAUAAGAAAAAAUAAAAUUUAUUAUAGAUAAUUAGUAUUGAGAAAGAAUUUGUUUAAUUUUAUAAAAGAAAAAUUAAUUUUUUGUACCUUGUGUAUCAGGGUUUAUUAAUUAAAAGUUAAUAUUAUUAAUUUUCUCGAAUUUAAAAGAGCUAUAAAGGUAUAAUUUUUAUUGUAGAAAAAAUAUUAUAAAUAUUUUUAUAGAAGUGAAACGCUAAUCGAUUUUAAAUAUAUCUAGUUUUUUAAGAAAUAAAUUUAAUUUUAUUUUUAUUUAAUUAAAAAUUUUAUUUAAUAAAUUUUUAAUAGUAAAAAUUUAUAUUUUAGGGGAUGAGCUUUAGAAUAAAAUAAUAUAAUUUUAAAUGUUAAAUGUUAAUUAAAUAGAAUUAUAAGUUUUCAUUUUUAAUAUUGUUUUAUAACUAUUUUAAUAAUUAAUAAAAUUUUUAUUUAAAAUUUAUUUUUUAUAUUAAAAUAUAAUUUAGAGUUUUAAUAAAUUAGAAAUAAUGAUAAAAUUAGUAGAAUUUAUUGUUGAUUAAAAAUUUAUUUAUAGGUUAUAUAAAGGAAUUCGGCAAAAAAUUUUUCACCUGUUUAAUAAAAACAUGGCCUUUUGAUUUUAAUUUAAGGUCUAGCCUGCCCAAUGAUAAGUUUAAAUGGCUGCGGUAUUUUGACCGUACAAAGGUAGCAUAAUCAUUAGUUUUUUAAUUGAAAGCUGGAAUGAAAGGUUGGAUGAAAAAAUAACUGUCUUUAUUUAAAUUUAUUUGAAUUUUAUUUUUAAGUAAAAAAGCUUAAAUAUUUAUAGAAGACGAGAAGACCCUAUAGAGUUUUAUAUAAAUUAAGAUUAAAAUUUUUAGAAUUAAA